This 253-nucleotide ribosomal RNA is filed under the name uncultured bacterium. RNAcentral describes it as "partial 16S ribosomal RNA". It matches the Rfam family "Bacterial small subunit ribosomal RNA", at positions 524 to 776 of the family's 1533-position model. The record is from RNAcentral.
UACGGAGGGUGCAAGCGUUAAUCGGAAUUACUGGGCGUAAAGCGCGCGUAGGUGGCGACUUAAGUGAGAUGUGAAAGCCCUGGGCUCAACCUGGGAACUGCAUUUCAAACUGAGUCGCUUGAGUACAGCAGAGGCGAGUGGAAUUUCCUGUGUAGCGGUGAAAUGCGUAGAUAUAGGAAGGAACACCAGUGGCGAAGGCGACUCGCUGGGCUGAUACUGACACUGAGGUGCGAAAGCGUGGGGAGCAAACAGG